RNAcentral lists this unclassified non-coding RNA (21 nucleotides) under Chlamydomonas reinhardtii. Its description in RNAcentral is "small RNA Cre_3867". Lineage: Eukaryota; Viridiplantae; Chlorophyta; Chlorophyceae; Chlamydomonadales; Chlamydomonadaceae. The record is from RNAcentral.
UUGAACGUGUGCUCGCCGCGU